GACGAACGCUGGCGGCGUGCUUAACACAUGCAAGUCGAACGAUGAAGCCCUGCUUGCUGGGUGGACGCGUGUCGAACGCGUGAGUAACACGUGAGUAACCUCCCCUGUACUCUGGGAUAAGCAUUGAAAACGCUGUCUCUUAUUGGAUACGACCUCUCACCGCAUGGUGUGUGGGUGGAAAGAUUUGUCGGUUUUGGAUGGACUCGCGGCCUAUCAGCUAGAUGGUGAGGUAAUGGCUCACCAUGGCCACGACGGGUAGCCGGCCUGAGAGGGUGACCGGCCACACUGGGACUGAGAUACGGCCCAGACUCCUACGGGAGGCAGCAGUGGGGAAUAUUGCACAAUGGGCGGAAGCCUGAUGCAGCAACGCCGCGUGAGGGAUGACGGCCUUCGGGUUGUAAACCGCUUUUACUAGGGAAGAAGCGAAAGUGACGGUAACGGCAAAAAAAGCACCGGCUAACUACGUG
RNAcentral lists this ribosomal RNA (467 nucleotides) under uncultured bacterium. RNAcentral describes it as "partial 16S ribosomal RNA". It matches the Rfam family "Bacterial small subunit ribosomal RNA", at positions 28 to 507 of the family's 1533-position model. The record is from RNAcentral.